UACGUAGGGAGCAAGCGUUGUCCGGAAUCAUUGGGCGUAAAGAGCGCGUAGGCGGCCAGAUAAGUCCGGUGUGAAAGUCACAGGCUCAACCUGUGAAUGCCGCUGGAAACUGUCUGGCUAGAGUCCGGAAGGGGCGAGUGGAAUUCCUGGUGUAGCGGUGAAAUGCGCAGAUAUCAGGAGGAACACCAAUGGCGAAGGCAGCUCGCUGGGACGGUACUGACGCUGAGGCGCGAAAGCGUGGGGAGCAAACAGG
This 253-nucleotide ribosomal RNA is filed under the name uncultured bacterium. RNAcentral describes it as "partial 16S ribosomal RNA". It matches the Rfam family "Bacterial small subunit ribosomal RNA", at positions 524 to 776 of the family's 1533-position model. The record is from RNAcentral.